Molecule: long non-coding RNA, 1561 nt
Filed under: Cicer arietinum (chickpea)
Lineage: Eukaryota; Viridiplantae; Streptophyta; Magnoliopsida; Fabales; Fabaceae
Description: long non-coding RNA (CARI_LNC002173)
Source: RNAcentral
UGAAAUACACAAAGAAAUCAUUAAGUUGCCUUCUUUUCAUUUAUUUUAAAUUAGGGAAUAUGAAAAUUAUAAUGAAUUAAAGAAUCAGUAAUGAUCAUUUUAUAAACAUUCAUGUUAAACUUUGUCUCUUGAGAUUAUAAUAGUAAACUCUUACUACUAAAGUGAUACUUAGUGAGAACUCAGCCAUUUAGUUGCUUGUAACACAAGAAAUGAAAAGAAAAAAAAUCAUGUUUUUUUUUUGUUUUCUUUGAGGAUUGGAUAGAAGAAAUUUAGUUAGCAUAUACUUACACAAUCUGUUGAGGAUUCCAGAGGAUGGAAUAGGUGUGAAAAUCUGCAGUAGGGUCAAACCAAAGAUGAAAUUGUUGCUCCCUAUUACCCUUUCCUUGGCUAAACACAUUUGUGUGAAGUGUGUAUGGCUGUCCACUCAAAUUUCCCAAGAAUUCAAAGUCAAUCUCAUCCCAGGCGCCUCCUUUUGAUGAUAACUGAAUUUGAUAGAGCAUACAAAAUUCUCAUCAGUAGAAAGAAAAAAACUGUUAUAAGGUUGUAAAUGUAUGAAAGUAAAAUACGAUGUGGUAAGUAGCUUACAUAAUAGGCAGUGACAGUACCAGCAGAGUUGCCAGAAACAAGUUUAAGUUGCAUAUCGAUUUUACCAAAAAGAUAUUGAUUUUUGGAUUGAAAGCCAGAACCAGAGGCUUUGUCAAGAGAGAGAGUAAGAAGUUGGUCAUUGUUGAGUAUUUUGGCACGACCCUGUAUGAAGCAGUGAAAGGUGCUUUGCUCCAAUCUGUUUUAACAAGUCCUCCUCUUGUGGCCCAAUCAUCAGCAUUCCAAAGACUUGAGUAGAUUCUCAUUGGUUGGUUUUUCGGGAAUGGAACACCAUUUGAUUCCAUGUUCUUGAAUUCCCUAAUUGGAGUUCCAUCCACAUAGAAACUGAAAUACACAAAGAAAUCAUUAAGUUGCCUUCUUUUCAUUUAUUUUAAAUUAGGGAAUAUGAAAAUUAUAAUGAAUUAAAGAAUCAGUAAUGAUCAUUUUAUAAACAUUCAUGUUAAACUUUGUCUCUUGAGAUUAUAAUAGUAAACUCUUACUACUAAAGUGAUACUUAGUGAGAACUCAGCCAUUUAGUUGCUUGUAACACAAGAAAUGAAAAGAAAAAAAAUCAUGUUUUUUUUUUGUUUUCUUUGAGGAUUGGAUAGAAGAAAUUUAGUUAGCAUAUACUUACACAAUCUGUUGAGGAUUCCAGAGGAUGGAAUAGGUGUGAAAAUCUGCAGUAGGGUCAAACCAAAGAUGAAAUUGUUGCUCCCUAUUACCCUUUCCUUGGCUAAACACAUUUGUGUGAAGUGUGUAUGGCUGUCCACUCAAAUUUCCCAAGAAUUCAAAGUCAAUCUCAUCCCAGGCGCCUCCUUUUGAUGAUAACUGAAUUUGAUAGAGCAUACAAAAUUCUCAUCAGUAGAAAGAAAAAAACUGUUAUAAGGUUGUAAAUGUAUGAAAGUAAAAUACGAUGUGGUAAGUAGCUUACAUAAUAGGCAGUGACAGUACCAGCAGAGUUGCCAGAAACAAGUUUAAG